Molecule: ribosomal RNA, 126 nt
Filed under: Hyphomicrobiales bacterium
Lineage: Bacteria; Pseudomonadati; Pseudomonadota; Alphaproteobacteria; Hyphomicrobiales
Description: partial 16S ribosomal RNA
Rfam family: Bacterial small subunit ribosomal RNA
Source: RNAcentral
CAACUUGAGAGUUUGAUCCUGGCUCAGAACGAACGCUGGCGGCAGGCUUAACACAUGCAAGUCGAACGCCCCGCAAGGGGAGUGGCAGACGGGUGAGUAACACGUGGGAACGUCCCCCUCGGUUCG